This 401-nucleotide transfer-messenger RNA is filed under the name Candidatus Regiella insecticola. Its description in RNAcentral is "Regiella insecticola Standard tmRNA". It matches the Rfam family "transfer-messenger RNA". Rfam says of the family: Bacterial tmRNA, also known as 10Sa RNA or SsrA, is named for its dual tRNA and mRNA-like properties. Its role is to liberate the mRNA from a stalled ribosome. Lineage: Bacteria; Pseudomonadati; Pseudomonadota; Gammaproteobacteria; Enterobacterales; Enterobacteriaceae. The record is from RNAcentral.
GGGGCUGAUUCUGGAUUCGACGAGAUUAGCGAACCCCAAGGUGCAUGCCGAGGUGCGGUGGCCUCGUAAAAACCGCAAAAAAAUAGUCGCAAACGACUCAGAAAUUGCACUUUCUUCUAAUGAUCCUGUUUAUGGUGAAUUAGCGAGAUUAGCAGCCUAAGAAACUGCAGGUGUCCUUUCUCCCUAGCCUCCGCUCUUAGGACGGGGAUCAAGAGAGGUCAAAUUUAAAAGAGAUCGCGUGGAUACCUAGCUUGGGGUUGAAGCGUUAAACCUAAUCAAGCUAUGUUUGUUAGUGGCGUGUCCAUCCGCAGCUAACCGAUGAAAAUAAAGAUUGGACUAAGCAUGUAGUGCCGACGGCGUAGUAAUUUCGGACGGGGGUUCAAAUCCCCCCAGCUCCACCA